ACUCUUAUAGUUUAAAAAAAACAGUAGAUUUUCUUCCUGCAGUUUUCCUAUUAGGAAUAAGGGUU
RNAcentral lists this transfer RNA (65 nucleotides) under Ophiura luetkenii. RNAcentral's name for it is "tRNA-Glu". Lineage: Eukaryota; Metazoa; Echinodermata; Ophiuroidea; Amphilepidida; Ophiuridae. The record is from RNAcentral.